RNAcentral lists this ribosomal RNA (1372 nucleotides) under uncultured bacterium. Its description in RNAcentral is "bacterial SSU rRNA". It matches the Rfam family "Bacterial small subunit ribosomal RNA", at positions 28 to 1381 of the family's 1533-position model. The record is from RNAcentral.
GAUGAACGCUGGCGGCGUGCCUAAUACAUGCAAGUCGAGCGAACGGACGAGAAGCUUGCUUCUCUGAUGUUAGCGGCGGACGGGUGAGUAACACGUGGAUAACCUACCUAUAAGACUGGGAUAACUUCGGGAAACCGGAGCUAAUACCGGAUAAUAUUUUGAACCGCAUGGUUCAAAAGUGAAAGACGGUCUUGCUGUCACUUAUAGAUGGAUCCGCGCUGCAUUAGCUAGUUGGUAAGGUAACGGCUUACCAAGGCAACGAUGCAUAGCCGACCUGAGAGGGUGAUCGGCCACACUGGAACUGAGACACGGUCCAGACUCCUACGGGAGGCAGCAGUAGGGAAUCUUCCGCAAUGGGCGAAAGCCUGACGGAGCAACGCCGCGUGAGUGAUGAAGGUCUUCGGAUCGUAAAACUCUGUUAUUAGGGAAGAACAUAUGUGUAAGUAACUGUGCACAUCUUGACGGUACCUAAUCAGAAAGCCACGGCUAACUACGUGCCAGCAGCCGCGGUAAUACGUAGGUGGCAAGCGUUAUCCGGAAUUAUUGGGCGUAAAGCGCGCGUAGGCGGUUUUUUAAGUCUGAUGUGAAAGCCCACGGCUCAACCGUGGAGGGUCAUUGGAAACUGGAAAACUUGAGUGCAGAAGAGGAAAGUGGAAUUCCAUGUGUAGCGGUGAAAUGCGCAGAGAUAUGGAGGAACACCAGUGGCGAAGGCGACUUUCUGGUCUGUAACUGACGCUGAUGUGCGAAAGCGUGGGGAUCAAACAGGAUUAGAUACCCUGGUAGUCCACGCCGUAAACGAUGUGUGCUAAGUGUUAGGGGGUUUCCGCCCCUUAGUGCUGCAGCUAACGCAUUAAGCACUCCGCCUGGGGAGUACGACCGCAAGGUUGAAACUCAAAGGAAUUGACGGGGACCCGCACAAGCGGUGGAGCAUGUGGUUUAAUUCGAAGCAACGCGAAGAACCUUACCAAAUCUUGACAUCCUUUGACAACUCUAGAGAUAGAGCCUUCCCCUUCGGGGGACAAAGUGACAGGUGGUGCAUGGUUGUCGUCAGCUCGUGUCGUGAGAUGUUGGGUUAAGUCCCGCAACGAGCGCAACCCUUAAGCUUAGUUGCCAUCAUUAAGUUGGGCACUCUAAGUUGGCUGCCGGUGACAAACCGGAGGAAGGUGGGGAUGACGUCAAAUCAUCAUGCCCCUUAUGAUUUGGGCUACACACGUGCUACAAUGGACAAUACAAAGGGCAGCGAAACCGCGAGGUCAAGCAAAUCCCAUAAAGUUGUUCUCAGGUCGGAUUGUAGUCUGCAACUCGACUACAUGAAGCUGGAAUCGCUAGUAAUCGUAGAUCAGCAUGCUACGGUGAAUACGUUCCCGGGUCU